This 402-nucleotide ribosomal RNA is filed under the name uncultured bacterium. RNAcentral's name for it is "partial 16S ribosomal RNA". It matches the Rfam family "Bacterial small subunit ribosomal RNA", at positions 30 to 525 of the family's 1533-position model. The record is from RNAcentral.
AUUGAACACUGGCGGCAGGCCUAACACAUGCAAGUCGAGCGAGCGGCGGACGGGUGAGUAAUGUAUGGGGACUGCCCGAUAGAGGGGGAUAACUACUGGAAACGGUGGCUAAUACCGCAUACUAUCGGAUAACCCAUAUGGGAUUAGCUAGUAGGGGGGGUAAAGGCUCACCUAGGCGACGAUUUCUAGCUGGUCUGAGAGGAUGAUCAGCCACACUGAGACUGAGACACAGCCCAGACUCCAAGGGAAGCAGGAGUGGGGAAUAUUGGACAGUGGGCGCAAGCCUGAUGGAGCCAUGCAGCGUGUAUGAAUAAAGCCUUGUGGUUGUAAAGUACUUUCAGCGGGGAGGCGUUACCGGCAGAAGAAGCACCGGCUAACUCCGUGCCAGCAGCCGCAGUAAAC